UGAACAGAUUAUGUCUGGAUGAU
RNAcentral lists this small nuclear RNA (23 nucleotides) under Arabidopsis thaliana (thale cress). RNAcentral's name for it is "snRNA_09733". The record is from RNAcentral. Lineage: Eukaryota; Viridiplantae; Streptophyta; Magnoliopsida; Brassicales; Brassicaceae.